This 653-nucleotide ribosomal RNA is filed under the name uncultured fungus. RNAcentral describes it as "eukaryotic LSU rRNA". It matches the Rfam family "Eukaryotic large subunit ribosomal RNA", at positions 24 to 664 of the family's 3401-position model. Lineage: Eukaryota; Fungi. The record is from RNAcentral.
CCCGCUGAACUUAAGCAUAUCAAUAAGCGGAGGAAAAAGAAACUAACAAGGAUUCCCCUAGUAACUGCGAGUGAAGCGGGAAGAGCUCAAAUUUGAAAUCUGGUGGUCCUCGACCGUCCGAGUUGUAAUCUAGAGAAGUGCUACCUGUGCUGGACCAUGUACAAGUCUUCUGGAAUGGAGCAUCAUAGAGGGUGAGAAUCCCGUCUUUGACAUGGACUGCCGGUGCGUUGUGGUAUGCUCUCAAAGAGUCGAGUUGUUUGGGAAUGCAGCUCAAAACGGGUGGUAAAUGCCAUCUAAAGCUAAAUAUUGGCGAGAGACCGAUAGCGAACAAGUACCGUGAGGGAAAGAUGAAAAGAACUUUGGAAAGAGAGUUAAACAGUAUGUGAAAUUGUUGAAAGGGAAACGAUGGAGGUCAGUCGUGUCUGUGGGAUUCAGCCGUCUCUGGCGGUGUACUUCCCACAGACGGGUCAACAUCAGUUUUGGUCGGCGGAUAAAGGCAGGAGGAAGGUGGCACCCUCGGGUGUGUUAUAGCCUCUUGUCGCAUACGCUGGCUGAGACUGAGGAAUGCAGCUCGCCUUUAUGGCCGGGGUUCGCCCACGUUCGAGCUUAGGAUGUUGACAUAAUGGCCUUCAACGACCCGUCUUGAAACACGG